RNAcentral lists this ribosomal RNA (353 nucleotides) under Staphylococcus aureus. RNAcentral's name for it is "bacterial SSU rRNA". It matches the Rfam family "Bacterial small subunit ribosomal RNA", at positions 239 to 584 of the family's 1533-position model. The record is from RNAcentral. Lineage: Bacteria; Bacillati; Bacillota; Bacilli; Caryophanales; Staphylococcaceae.
CAUUAGCUAGUUGGUAAGGUAACGGCUUACCAAGGCAACGAUGCAUAGCCGACCUGAGAGGGUGAUCGGCCACACUGGAACUGAGACACGGUCCAGACUCCUACGGGAGGCAGCAGUAGGGAAUCUUCCGCAAUGGGCGAAAGCCUGACGGAGCAACGCCGCGUGAGUGAUGAAGGUCUUCGGAUCGUAAAACUCUGUUAUUAGGGAAGAACAUAUGUGUAAGUAACUGUGCACAUCUUGACGGUACCUAAUCAGAAAGCCACGGCUAACUACGUGCCAGCAGCCGCGGUAAUACGUAGGUGGCAAGCGUUAUCCGGAAUUAUUGGGCGUAAAGCGCGCGUAGGCGGUUUUUU